AGAAAUGAAGUUGGAUGAGAUGAAGCAGAGCUUUAUCUCAAGAAAAUUACAUAGCUCCUAUAGGCAAAGACCAUCACAUCUGCCUAGGUAUCCAGCAACAGAAUCAGACCAAGGCAGUGGGAGACUGAGGCCACCUCUCUACCACCAGCAGGUGAUAAGGGAGCACCCCUGCCUGUUCUGUACUGCUUUUCCCUGCCCUCAUUUCCAGAGGUGCUAGGCCUGGAAGUUGGGGGUGGAGGUGGGCGGGUGUGGUGGGUCGGGGGAAGAAGGGAAAGAGCAGACUGCACCCUUGCUACCUGGCACCUAGCUCCCAGACUGUAAUUUCUCUGGGAUUCUCUCAUGCCUAGCCCACGCCUGGCCCAGAGCAGACAUUCAAUACUUAUGUUGAAAAUGAAUGAGUGAAUGAAUAUACAUAAUAAAAGUUAAUACUCAUCCCUCCACCCUCCCCACGCCAGCCCCUUUUUCUCAGUCACUCACAGCUUUUUUGAUUUAGGAGUCUUUUUCAUUAUUUAACUUUUUUUUUUUUUAAUUUUGUAGAGACAGGGUCUUGCUCUUGUUACCCAGGCUGGUCUUGAACUCCUGGGCUCAAAUGAUCCUCCUGCCUUGGCCUCCCAAAGUGCUGGGAUUACAGAUGUGAGCCACUGCAACUGGCCUGGUGUAGGAGUCUUAUUUUUCUGUCAGAGGAGGGCGUUCCCUUGGCUCAGAGCCUUGCUUAGGUAAUGUAGAAGGACCCAGGGUACACAGGGUGGGUGGCUAUUCUCCAGAAAUGUCAG
RNAcentral lists this long non-coding RNA (773 nucleotides) under Homo sapiens (human). RNAcentral describes it as "non-protein coding lnc-HEATR6-1:22". Lineage: Eukaryota; Metazoa; Chordata; Mammalia; Primates; Hominidae. The record is from RNAcentral.